RNAcentral lists this ribosomal RNA (300 nucleotides) under uncultured Oligosphaera sp. Its description in RNAcentral is "bacterial SSU rRNA". It matches the Rfam family "Bacterial small subunit ribosomal RNA", at positions 496 to 795 of the family's 1533-position model. The record is from RNAcentral. Lineage: Bacteria; Pseudomonadati; Lentisphaerota; Oligosphaeria; Oligosphaerales; Oligosphaeraceae.
GCCGAGUCCGGGCCGGGAGCGGGGGUAAUACGUGGGGGGCAAGCGGUGUUCGGAAUUAGUGGGCGUAAAGGGCGCGUAGGCGGCGUGGCGCGUCGGCUGUGAAAACCUGGGGCUCAACGCCGGGCCUGCAGCCGAUACGGGCAAGCUAGAGUUCGGUAGGGGAGACUGGAAUUCCUGGUGUAGCGGUGAAAUGCGCAGAUAUCAGGAGGAACACCGGUGGCGAAGGCGGGUCUCUGGGCCGAUACUGACGCUGAGGAGCGAAAGCGUGGGGAGCGAACAGGAUUAGAUACCCCAGUAGUC